This 432-nucleotide ribosomal RNA is filed under the name uncultured bacterium. RNAcentral describes it as "partial 16S ribosomal RNA". It matches the Rfam family "Bacterial small subunit ribosomal RNA", at positions 29 to 507 of the family's 1533-position model. The record is from RNAcentral.
ACGAACGCUGGCGGCAUGCCUAACACCUGCAAGUCGAACGAGACCUUCGGGUCUAGUGGCGCACGGGUGCGUAACGCGUGGGAACCUGCCCUUAGGUUCGGAAUAACUCCCCGAAAGGGGUGCUAAUACCGGAUAAUGUCUUCGGACCAAAGAUUUAUCGCCUUUGGAUGGGCCCGCGUUGGAUUAGCUAGUUGGUAGGGUAAAAGCCUACCAAGGCGACGAUCCAUAGCUGGUCUGAGAGGAUGAUCAGCCACACUGGGACUGAGACACGGCCCAGACUCCUACGGGAGGCAGCAGUGGGGAAUAUUGGACAAUGGGCGAAAGCCUGAUCCAGCAAUGCCGCGUGAGUGAUGAAGGCCUUAGGGUUGUAAAGCUCUUUUACCCGGGAUGAUAAUGACAGUACCGGGAGAAUAAGCUCCGGCUAACUCCAUG